GCUUUCUGGACUUAGGGUCCAGUGAGGAAAGCAUCCAACAUCUAUGACAAAUAGUGAAUAAGAAACUGUACAUUAACUAUGGAGAAAGAGCUGUGAGGGAAAGGAGGCCUUUGACAUUUUAGACUAUCUCUUAGCCCUUCUCCUGCCUCUUAAUUAAGAGGUGCUUUCUCUUUGCACUGGACCCUGGAAAUGAUACAGUCAUCCCCGCUUGGUUCCUUCUGGCCGGCAACUUCUGUCUGGUCUUCCCCUCCUGCUUCUAGAAAGGAAACAAGAAGUCAUUUAAAGAUAUUGCUGAGAUCAGGGACGAGUCAUUUCUUGUCUCUUUUCUGUCCUUCUGAAGGUCACUAUGACCAGCUCCACCUCAGACCUUAGAAGUUACCCGGUCUGAGGAGAGGAGACAAAGUCGUCUAUCACUCGCUGGCUUGGAAGUCAUGAAUCUUCCUGCCAGCGAGCUAUUUCUUUGCAGACACUUACUAUGUCCCCAGUUCUGGGUUAGUGUUGGCUCUGGGCAGGACCAAUUAGGGAUGCAGGACAGGAACCAUAAAGCAAGCUUCCAGGAAAUGAGGCUCCAAGUUCACAGUCAGCUUUAUUUAAGGGCUUGUUUGCAAGCACAGGGACAGGGCCGUGCCAGGCAAGUUAAACAUUGUCCCUGGCCCCAAGGGGAUGGAUCAUGGCGAGUGCAGACAUGGCCUGGUGCAGAGAGGGUGAGAAGACAGCCUGACCACUGAUAAGGUAAGCCUAUAGACAGUUGUCACAAGCAUGACACUGCUCACUGUUGCUCUCUAACCUUGGUCCAGAAUCACGGGCAUUCCAUAGUUGGCAACUGGGCUACGUCUGGUUCAUCGCAAGCUGUCAUGGAAGGAGAAUGUAUGUCAGGAGCCACUGUGCCCUGCCCCCCCCCCCCCCCGCCCCACUCUCAGGUCUUUCCCAGGGCCUACCUCAUAGUUUCCAAACCUUUCAAGACUGCGGUAAUGCCCUCUCUACCGGUACAUUUUAAGCCCCGCUACUUUGUUUGUUACUAUAAAAGUCGCAUCAGACAUUCCCAGACCCCAAGAGGCCAGACAAACGCCAACUGUCCUCCUGUGGUCCUGCUAGACACAUCUAGAAUAACCCAGUCAGUCAAUGGACAGGGGAGACAUCUCUGUGUAGCCUGGCAGGUGGGGGAAGUAUCCCGUGUGGGACAUACCUGCCUGUCCUCAGUUAUCUGAAAUUCCAGUGUAGGCGGACAUCCUGUACUUUCUCAGCAGCUUCUGUGAAAUGGGUGAAUCCAGAAAGGACAAAGACUCUAGAGGAUUCUGAAGGUCCCCAGGAAGGGUCAGAAGGGACCCUAUUACUGUGGCUGCUAACUGCCUGCUGUCAUGUCUGCUGGUAUACCCAGGCCUAGGCAUAGCUCCUCUGUGCACUGGGAUGGGUGUGCCGGGCCUUUUCCUCCUCUCCACCACUAAGCUCUCCCCAGGGAUGGGACACAGUGAGGGUCCCAUCCCAACCUUGGCCCAGGACUCAAGAGGCCCACCAGGCCAUCAGAAGGCCGUUCUUGUUUCCUCACUGACUAGCAGCAAAAUGCAACACUCUUGGCUCAAACAAUACAGAAAAUGUCCCCUCCAUCUUAAUUAGUCCUAGCACAGGCAGCUCCAGUGUUGGCUAAUUCAGUGUUAGCAGAGACUGUUAUUUUGACCUGUAGCCUGUGCGACUCUUUCUUGUACCCAGGGCAUGUCGCCUUAUGUCCUUUAUUGGCUUCAGAUGGCUGCUGCACGUCUCAAUGUCUGCCUGAGGACAUGGUAACAAGCCAUCAAGGAAGAAGAGAGGGUGGCUUGCCCAGAUGUUCAAGCCCAUGAUGUCAUUCUCAGGAACUCCCAUCAGAUAGCUCCUGUGUGUGUGUUUGAGCUGAAGUUGUCACGUGCUUGCAUGUACGUCAGCCUAAGGCACAGCAGUGGCCUCUGACUGUCACUGUUUGUUGCUGGAGUGGUCCCUGGGUGUUCAGUGCAUGGAGUGGAGACACACACACACACACACAUACACACACACCUGAGCUACACCAGGUUCUCUAACCACUCCCUACCUUAUUCUAUAAAGACUUCGAGGUUGUUGUUUUUAAUCUGUUUUCUCAUUAAAAACUCAAGCAUUACAGAGAACCAUGACUAAAAAAAAUUCCAAUAAUUUAACUCAUUCUAACCAUACUUGGGUCUAUGACAAAUUACCUAAUUUUAUUUCAUACAAAUGUAAUCCGAUUUUAAUUUAGGUUUUUGUUUUUCUGUUUCUUUCUCUUUUCCUUAUUUUGGGCUUUUGAGAUGAGAGUUUUAAGAUGUAUCCCUGCCUGCCCUGGAACUCACUAUAUAGACCAGGCUGGACUCAAACUUGUGGCCACCAUCUGAGUAUUGGGAUUUCAGGCCUGCACCACCAGGGGCAGCUAACCUCCUACUUCAUCAUUUUAAUGCCACUUCACACGUUUCCCUUUGCCAUUUUAAUUUAAUUAUACUAGCAAUCACAUGCGGCUUUGGUCAGGUUCUUAGGUGACAGCCGCAGCUCUGUCUCCCAUGGACAGCCUUAUAGAAGAACCUCGCGGUAACCCAUUUCACAGGAGAGGCUACACAUUCCUCAUGCUUAACAACAUCCAGUGAGCAAUGGCUGGUGGACCACAAACUGAUGUGUGCAUGGGCAUGUGCAUGUGUGCAUGUGUGUGUGCUCGUGAGCACACAGGCUUGCAUGCAUGUGCAUGUAUUGUGCAUGUGUGCACAUGAAGGUAGGCAUGGCAUGCCUUAGUGUGCAUGUGGAGGUCAGAACGGAGGACAGACUUGGGGAGCCAGUUCUCACCUUCUACCUUGCUUGGCAUGGGGUCUUUGGCCAUUUCUGUUGCUAAGCUCUGUACCCCAGGCUGGCUGACUUGUGAGCUUCUGGGUGAUUCUCUUGUCCACAACUCCCAUCUUGCUGUAGAAGUGCUGGGAUUGCAGAUGCAGGCUGUUGCAGCUGGGCUUUUUCUGUGAGUUCUGGGGAAUCUCAGGCUGCCGUGCUUAUUUGUAAAAUGCUUUACCCGCUGAGCCACCUCCCUGUUUCGUGUCUCAGCUCGGACAGCUGACAUCAUCCUUCUUUUCCUAUGGAUAGCUGCCACCAUCCAUGGUGGCAGAGGUCGCCAUAUAUAUAUACAUAUACAUAUGUGUGUGUGUGUGUGUGUGUGUGUGUGUGUGUGUGUGUGUGUGUAGGAACAUAUUCAUAAAAUGUAUCCGUUUUCUUCUCACUUUAUUACAUCAUUGGGUGAUAUUCCCCUGAAGAUAACAUGGUGUGUCAGUUACGGUUUCUAUGGCUGCAAGAAUACACCAAGACCAAAAAGCAAGUUGGAGAAGAAAGGGUUUCUUUGGCUUACACUUCCAUGUCAUUGUCAUCACCACAGGAAGUCAGGACAGGAACUCAAGAAACACAGGAACCUGGAGACAGGAGCAGAUGCAGAGGCCAUGGAGGGGUGCUGCCUACUGGCUUACUCCCCCUGGCUUGCUCAGCCUCCUUUCUUACAGAACCCGAGACCACCAUGCUUUCUUACAGAACCCGAGACCACCAGUGCAGGGAUGGCACCACCCACAAGGGGCUGUGCCCUCUCCUGUUGAUCGCUAAUUGAGAAAAUGCUUUAUAGCUGGAUAUCAUAGAGGUAUUUCCUCUGGAGCUCCUUCCACUCUGAUAGCUGUAGAUUGUGUCAGGUUGACCAAAAAAAAAAAAAAAAAAGGCCAGUACACAUGGCAUCAAAGGUCAAGAGAAAGUAGAGCUUUUCCCACACUACUCUGGAAAAGCCAAAAACAAACUGACUAUAGCAUUACCUGCAAGGUCUAAAUAUUGGGUUUGCCCAAUCACAUAUUGUUGCUGUUGUUUUCAGGUCUCCUUAUGAAGCUGAAGGUAACCUUGGCCUCUUGAUCCUCCUGCCUCAGGCUUCUUGGGUGCUGGAAUUCCAGACACAUUCCUUUACAUGCGGUUCUGUCAAUUAGCUAUGUUUUUUAGACUUAUUUUUAAUUAUGUGUAUCGAGAGAGAGAGAGAGAGGUAUGUGCAUGUGAAUUACAGUGCCCACAGGGGCCAGAGGUUGGCACUGGAUGUCCUGGACCUGAAGUUACAGCUGGUUCCAAGCUACCUGACGUGGGUGCUGAGAACCAAAUUCUAGUCCUCUGUGAGAGCAGCCCACACUCCUAACCACCGAGCCAUCUCUCCAACCCCUCGGCCACCAAGUUUUACUUGUCUCAUACUUUUCAUUCAAAAUCUUUCAGUUUUCAAGAGGAGCUCGGUGCUUCCUUGUCCCCAUGUUGCGCAUGUUGCCUGUGACUGUGGAGCAGCCGCCUCCGACCACAGGGCCACGGGGUGUUUAUGUCCUACGCUUACUGCUGUGUUGUUUACAAAUGUUUUCUGCCCUGUGGCUCGGGGAAUUGUUCUUAAUUAGCCUGGAAAUGGAGACCAUCUGGGCAAUGUUUUUACCUAUUCUUCUUCUUCUUCUUUCUUCUUCUUCUUCUUCUUCUUCUUCUUCUUCUUCUUCUUCUUCUUCUUCUUCUUCUUCUUCUUCUUUCAUAUAUGAUCAGCUUUUGUGAUGGGUUUGUAGAACAUGGAAAUGUACCUUACCCUGUGAAAACUGGGUUUUCAAGAAUCCUUUUUGAGCCCACAGUGGUGGUUUAGCUGAGGGCUAGUGCCUGGGUGUGCAAGCUGGCUGCCAGUGACCAUACCCUGCCAUCCUUGUUCUCUGGCCAUCUGUCCACCUCCGCAACAGAGUGGCAAGUGACACGCCCAGGCCCAGAAAGCCAGACAGAGUGGCGGCUGGAGACUCCACAGAAUCCUUGUAAUUUGAAAUGGAAAAGGUCUGUUGGCUUGUGUGGUGUUGUCCUCCCAUGGGGCCCCAACCCGCUUUAGAAGGUGACAUAAAAUUUACCUUGUCACUCUGAGCACUCAAUUGGCUUUUCUGGGCCUUAUCUGAGAAUUCAAGAUCUAGGCCAGCUCGGGAAUUUGAAUGUGGAUCUGGUACCAUUUAGGGAUGCCACCGAAAGCCGGAUGCUCUCGGAGACUGGCACUCCUCAUAGGCUGUUCUGCAUUCCAGGGUGGCUACAACAAAUGACAGUAUCUCUUCUAGUCUGCAGGUUUGAAAACAAAAGACUUCUUGGUCUGCAACAACCUUCCAGACUUUCUAGAAGGCUUUGUGUCAAAGAACCCAAGGACAGAAGUUGAUAAAAGGGCAUCUCCUGUACUGAACUUGGAGAGAAUCACUGUCCAGUCCAGUGCCUUUCACUAUGUUGUUAACCUAUUGUUUCUUGCUUAUUUUUAUUACUGUUUUAUGCUUAUCCCAUGUAUUGAGUUCAAUUUUGUGACACUAUGCUCUUUUGUUUCAAGUUAAUCUUUUAAAACUUUGUUCUGCUUUUUGACUGAAACACUAAGAUCUUGGUUUUGUGGGCAGGCGAUGGGCUUGGUGAGCUCUUUGACCUUCACUGCGCAGAAGGGGAAACCAUCUCUCGUGUGCUUCUGGAAAGGCCAGCAACUGGCUCUGCUGAAUGAGAGUUAGCAUCCUCCUCAACAUCCCCUAGCAGCUGGAACACAGGGAGACCGUCUGGGUGGGUUGAUGUCUGUCCAAGCGACUGAGUGCUUGGGAGUUGGGGGGCAGGAGAAAAAAUCCCUCCCAGUCACUUCAUUGUUGGGGUCCCAGAGCCCUGGGCUGAUCCUCAGGCAUGAUUUCAGUGACAGAGAUCUGGUCUCAGAGAUGGGGAGGAAACCCCUAGAACGCCUACCCUCCAGCUCUGAAGGGCCAGCCAGUCUCUUGGAACAGGAAAGCAGCAACCACAAACAGGAAUUUCCUCAUGGGAGAUUGAAGGGAUGUGUGCAUGGAAGUGCACAUUGGUGUUUUGCAUGUUUGCAGUUGACCCAGGAAGUUGGUAGGGUAUGAGGCAGAGGGAAUCAAAACCUUCAAAUCUCUUCCCUCCCUCUGGCCGCAAGAAAGGCUUCUGGAAAAUGUGAGCUUUGUGAUAAGGGAAUGAGCUCCUAAAUAUUUACAAAAUUCUAGGAUGUGUUGGCUACAGAAGAGGGUGGCCUCCAUACGAAGCCUUUCAGUUACCAACCUUGAGCUUUCCUUAGAAUCUCUGGUGGACCAUGGUUACCAAACGUUGCCCUGAUUUACUGCCUGUUUGAGAAUUCAUCUCCAAACAUUUAAGGCCAAGGAAGAGCAACUGUGUGAGUGUUUUUUAAUUACUGAAGUACUCAUGUGGUAAAUCUCUGAGUCUGUCUGGGAAGGAGUUUGUCCCGUAGUGGGAAGGUCAUUCCAGUUCAAGAUUUUAAAUGAGCCGGAGGCUGGAUGAUGCUAACAGACUUUCUCUUAUAAAAGACUCUUGUGGCCGUGGGCCCCGCAGUGUGGAGUACCCAUCACUUACUGUGUAAGUAGUUGGUGAUUUCAGAAACAGGCCUGGCUGUCGGCUUGCCAGAUGAUGCGCUGCUUAACCUCACGUAUAAACCUCCUUCCUCUGUCGUUGUUAUCUCAAGGGCCUUUGUCACAUCACUUCGCUCAUUUCCCUAGUGAGAAACCGUGACACACUCCAGAAGGGCAGCUCCUAUGGCUGCCUGCUCGGUUUUUUUCACAGCGAGCCAGGAAAAGGUGAGUCACGUUCCUCUCCAGUCUCGUUCACCUUCACCAGUAGCGCACACACAGUUAAUACAGGAAAUACGCAUUGCAGCGUACACAAGAAACUGUCAGCGACCAGUUGUGUCGGCAGCGGCUAGCCUAGAUUAUAUAAUGUUUUAAGAGAUAAGUCACGUUAGUGCUUUUGUGGCCAUGUAUAAUUACAUUGGAGAACUAAUUUACUGAGUUAAUAAUUAGUAAUGUGACUUUAUGGCAUGCUAACCAUUCUGAAGUACUUGUCCUGUUAGCAUUUAUUGCUAAUUAGUAGAGUAGCCCCAUUUUCAUUACUGAGAAGGUACACUGCUUUCAGUUUGCGACUGCAUUAUUAAAGUCUAAAUAGACAAGCAAACGGUACUUAGACAUGGGUCCUAUGAGAUCUGGGGAAUAGAAGUUUCAGGACUACGGUACUAAAUGCAGAAAUCCAUGGCCUUUGUAAGCUGUCAGUGGAGUAAGACAGUGUAGCACCCUGAGAAAUGAAGAUUUUAAAAAAACAAAAAACAGAAACAGCAGUCCUGGCCCCAAAAGUUGUUGAAUCUGGCCACUUAAAAAGCAAAAAGAAGAUGUAAGUCUUUGAGAGUUAAGGGCUUACAUUGUCCCUUGCAAUUGUCCCAAAAGUCCCUAUGGUGAUGCACAUCUAUAAUCCAUUCCAGUCCUUAGGUAAGGCAGGAGGAUCACCAGUUUGAGACUAGCCUGGGCUAUACACGCUGUCUCAUUAAGAAAAAAAGAAAGG
Molecule: long non-coding RNA, 7350 nt
Filed under: Mus musculus (house mouse)
Lineage: Eukaryota; Metazoa; Chordata; Mammalia; Rodentia; Muridae
Description: long non-coding RNA chr1:180357648-180364998
Source: RNAcentral